This 496-nucleotide ribosomal RNA is filed under the name uncultured bacterium. RNAcentral describes it as "bacterial SSU rRNA". It matches the Rfam family "Bacterial small subunit ribosomal RNA", at positions 15 to 507 of the family's 1533-position model. The record is from RNAcentral.
GAUCAUGGCUCAGAUUGAACGCUGGCGGCAUGCCUUACACAUGCAAGUCGAACGGCAGCGACGGGGGGCAACCCUGGUGCGAGUGGCGGACGGGUGAGUAAAGCAUCGGAACGUAUCCUGGAGUGGGGAUAACGUAGCGAAAGUUACGCUAAUACCGCAUAUUCUGUGAGCAGGAAAGCAGGGGAUCGCAAGACCUUGCGCUCUGGGAGCGGCCGAUGUCGGAUUAGCUAGUUGGUGGGUAAAGGCCUACCAAGGCGACGAUCCGUAGCGGGUCUGAGAGGAUGAUCCGCCACACUGGGACUGAGACACGGCCCAGACUCCUACGGGAGGCAGCAGUGGGGAAUUUUGGACAAUGGGCGGAAGCCUGAUCCAGCCAUGCCGCGUGAGUGAAGAAGGCCUUCGGGUUGUAAAGCUCUUUCGGCGGGGAAGAAAUUGCACGGGUUAAUACCCUGUGUAGAUGACGGUACCCGAAUAAGAAGCACCGGCUAACUACGUG